Molecule: non-coding RNA, 227 nt
Organism: Schizosaccharomyces pombe (fission yeast)
Lineage: Eukaryota; Fungi; Ascomycota; Schizosaccharomycetes; Schizosaccharomycetales; Schizosaccharomycetaceae
Source: the annotation of a GenBank genome assembly
CCUUCAACUGGUAACGCAAAAGAAUCUAAAAUAAUCAAGGAGGCCCCUUCAACCUUCCCCUGAACAUAGCCCAUUACCUCUAAUGGCAUGCCUUGAGAUACAUGCCGUAACAUUUUCAACAAAGCUACUGCUGAGAUUUUGACAGAACGGAAAAACUCUGGGCUGUUAUUGUUAGCAUUACAGGAUUUAUAAUUUUAAUAAAUUAACGUAGGGAAAAAAAUUCAGAG